GCCCGAUUAGCUCAGCUGGUUAGAGCGUCGUACUAAUAUCUUGUCUUCUGAGAUAUCAAGUCCAUGCGAAGGUCAACAGUUCAAUCCUGUUAUUGGGCA
Molecule: transfer RNA, 99 nt
Filed under: Neurospora crassa
Lineage: Eukaryota; Fungi; Ascomycota; Sordariomycetes; Sordariales; Sordariaceae
Also listed under: 1 other name
Description: tRNA-Ile
Source: RNAcentral